Molecule: ribosomal RNA, 1282 nt
Filed under: Micrococcus luteus
Lineage: Bacteria; Bacillati; Actinomycetota; Actinomycetes; Micrococcales; Micrococcaceae
Description: bacterial SSU rRNA
Rfam family: Bacterial small subunit ribosomal RNA
Source: RNAcentral
UGAGUAACACGUGAGUAACCUGCCCUUAACUCUGGGAUAAGCCUGGGAAACUGGGUCUAAUACCGGAUAGGAGCGCCUACCGCAUGGUGGGUGUUGGAAAGAUUUAUCGGUUUUGGAUGGACUCGCGGCCUAUCAGCUUGUUGGUGAGGUAAUGGCUCACCAAGGCGACGACGGGUAGCCGGCCUGAGAGGGUGACCGGCCACACUGGGACUGAGACACGGCCCAGACUCCUACGGGAGGCAGCAGUGGGGAAUAUUGCACAAUGGGCGCAAGCCUGAUGCAGCGACGCCGCGUGAGGGAUGACGGCCUUCGGGUUGUAAACCUCUUUCAGUAGGGAAGAAGCGAAAGUGACGGUACCUGCAGAAGAAGCACCGGCUAACUACGUGCCAGCAGCCGCGGUAAUACGUAGGGUGCGAGCGUUAUCCGGAAUUAUUGGGCGUAAAGAGCUCGUAGGCGGUUUGUCGCGUCUGUCGUGAAAGUCCGGGGCUUAACCCCGGAUCUGCGGUGGGUACGGGCAGACUAGAGUGCAGUAGGGGAGACUGGAAUUCCUGGUGUAGCGGUGGAAUGCGCAGAUAUCAGGAGGAACACCGAUGGCGAAGGCAGGUCUCUGGGCUGUAACUGACGCUGAGGAGCGAAAGCAUGGGGAGCGAACAGGAUUAGAUACCCUGGUAGUCCAUGCCGUAAACGUUGGGCACUAGGUGUGGGGACCAUUCCACGGUUUCCGCGCCGCAGCUAACGCAUUAAGUGCCCCGCCUGGGGAGUACGGCCGCAAGGCUAAAACUCAAAGGAAUUGACGGGGGCCCGCACAAGCGGCGGAGCAUGCGGAUUAAUUCGAUGCAACGCGAAGAACCUUACCAAGGCUUGACAUGUUCUCGAUCGCCGUAGAGAUACGGUUUCCCCUUUGGGGCGGGUUCACAGGUGGUGCAUGGUUGUCGUCAGCUCGUGUCGUGAGAUGUUGGGUUAAGUCCCGCAACGAGCGCAACCCUCGUUCCAUGUUGCCAGCACGUAAUGGUGGGGACUCAUGGGAGACUGCCGGGGUCAACUCGGAGGAAGGUGAGGACGACGUCAAAUCAUCAUGCCCCUUAUGUCUUGGGCUUCACGCAUGCUACAAUGGCCGGUACAAUGGGUUGCGAUACUGUGAGGUGGAGCUAAUCCCAAAAAGCCGGUCUCAGUUCGGAUUGGGGUCUGCAACUCGACCCCAUGAAGUCGGAGUCGCUAGUAAUCGCAGAUCAGCAACGCUGCGGUGAAUACGUUCCCGGGCCUUGUACACACCGCCCGUCAA